RNAcentral lists this ribosomal RNA (1513 nucleotides) under metagenome. RNAcentral describes it as "bacterial SSU rRNA". It matches the Rfam family "Bacterial small subunit ribosomal RNA". The record is from RNAcentral.
AGAGUUUGAUCCUGGCUCAGAAUGAACGCUGGCGGCGUGGUUUAGGCAUGCAAGUCGAACGAUCUGCUGUAAUGCAGAUAGUGGCGAAAGGGUGAGUAACGCGUGGGUUAUUUGCCUUCUGGUUCGGAAUAACUUCGCGAAAGCGAGGCUAAUACUGGAUAAGACCACAAAUUCUAAGGGAUUUGAGGUUAAAGCCGGGGACCCCAACAGGGCCUGGCGCCGGAAGAGGAGCCCGCGUCCUAUCAGCUUGUUGGUGAGGUAAUGGCUCACCAAGGCUAAGACGGGUAGCUGGUCUGAGAGGAUGGUCAGCCACACUGGGACUGAGACACUGCCCAGACUCCUACGGGAGGCUGCAGUCGAGAAUCUUUUGCAAUGCGCGAAAGCGUGACAAUGCGACGCCGCGUGAGCGAUGAAGCCCUUCGGGGUGUAAAGCUCUGUCAGCCCGGAUGAAUAUUUAUCUUUUAACAGAGGAUAGAGACGACAGUACGGGCAGAGGAAGCCACGGCUAACUCCGUGCCAGCAGCCGCGGUAAUACGGAGGUGGCAAGCGUUAUUCGGAAUUAUUGGGUGUAAAGGGUAUGUAGGUGUCUUAAUAAGUCGGGCGUGAAAUCCCAUGGCUCAACCAUGGAACUGCACUCGAUACUGUUAAGAUUGAGUAUGGAAGAGGAGAGUGGAAUUCCCGGUGUAAGGGUGAAAUCUGUAGAUAUCGGGAGGAACACCAGUGGCGAAAGCGGCUCUCUGGUCCAAUACUGACACUGAAAUACGAAAGCAAGGGGAGCAAACAGGAUUAGAUACCCUGGUAGUCCUUGCAGUAAACGAUGGGCACUAGGUGUAGGCCGGUUACGGUCUGUGCCGCAGUUAACACAUUAAGUGCCCCACCUGGGGAGUACGGCGGCAACGUUGAAACUCAAAGGAAUUGACGGGGACCCGCACAAGCGGUGGAGCAUGUGGUUUAAUACGACGAUACGCGUGGAACCUUACCUGGGCUUGACAUGCUUGAAGUAGGAACCUGAAAGGGAGACGAUCCGUUAAGUCGGAAACUUGCACAGGUGUUGCAUGGCUGUCGUCAGCUCGUGUCGUGAGAUGUUGGGUUAAGUCCCGCAACGAGCGCAACCAUCGUCAUUAGUUGCUAAUCACUUUUGGUGAAGCACUCUAGUGAGACUGCCAGUGUUUAACUGGAGGAAGGUGGUGACGACGUCAAGUCAGUACGGCCCUUACGCCCAGGGCUACACACGUGCUACAAUGGCCGGUACAAAGAGAAGCGAAACCGCGAGGUUAAGCGAAUCUCAGAAAGCCGGUCUCAGUUCAGAUUGAAGGCUGCAAUUCGCCUUCAUGAAGCUGGAAUCGCUAGUAAACGCAGAUCAGCUAUGCUGCGUUGAAUACGUUCCCGGGUCUUGUACACACCGCCCGUCAAGUCACCUGAGUCGAGUGCACCCGAAGUCGCUAUUCUAACCCGCAAGGGAGGAAGGCGCCGAAGGUGUGCUUGGUGAGGAGGACUAAGUCGUAACAAGGUA